This is a long non-coding RNA of Cryptomeria japonica (Japanese cedar), 1525 nucleotides long. RefSeq lists it as uncharacterized. The record is from RefSeq and is a predicted model, not a curated record. Lineage: Eukaryota; Viridiplantae; Streptophyta; Pinopsida; Cupressales; Cupressaceae. The transcript has 3 exons.
UUUCUCUGUUUGUGCUCUGUUUUUUUUGGGCAUGGCCAUGCCUCCUGUGUCUAUGUUUGUUCUGUUUAUCGAGUUUUUCUUUUGAGUUUUUGUUUGCAUUAUUAUGUGUUCUGUUUUUUUUCUUUUAAUAUGUGUUGGGUGAGGAUGGAGAUUGAUGUUCGCGAGGGACUGCAUAUGCGGGAAUUUCAAGCAUUGAUGAGACUCCUCUUACAAUAUCCAAAGCCCUGCUAUUGUCUUAGUUGAAGCAGAACAGUCUCCAGUGGAAAUACUGAUGAAUUUCAAAGAAAGCCUUAGGGAUAGCAAUGGCAUUCUGCAUGACUGAGGUUUCAGGGAACAGAUUUGGAGGGUCAUUUCCAGGAUGGCUGUCUAACUGUAAAAAAUUGGUCAAGUUGGACUUGAGCUUCAAUGGAUUUUUGGGAUCCCUGCCUGAAGCUAUUUCAGAUUUUUGCAGUUUAACCCAUUUGGACCCAUUUGGAUAUUUCAACAAAUAGAAUUUCGCGAUUCAUUCCAGAGAGUGUGAUUCCUAAGCUUCAGUACCUCAAUGUCUCAGAUUGCCAGUUUAGUGGGUCCAAUUCCAUCAUUUCUUGCUAAUCUUUCAAAUGGGUAUUUUAUGUCCACAUGCACAUAGCAUCUACAGUUUGUUUUCCACUCCACAAAACAUUUUGGUCUGCUCCACAUUGGGUGCAGAUCAAAAUACUCGUUUCUGCAGUCGAUGAACUUCACCAUUGCAGCCGUAGAUUGGAUCAUGCACUCUAGCACUCGCUUCAUAUACCAUGCUUUUUACAGCUUCUUCUCUCUUCUCAACCGGAAUAUCCUGAAGUAACAAAAAAACAUAACAAAGGCUGACAGAUUAAAUUAGGGUUCUUACUUUUUGUUAGAGUAUAUACUAAAGGCUUCCAUAUUUGUGCAAACAUAGAAAAGGAAUAACGUUAGAGGAGAUCUUUGCACAAUCCCUAAAACAGCAUUUGCCCUGUACCUUAAGGGUUUUGACAAUCCUGCUUGUUCCAAAUAAUUUGUUCACUUGUAAAAAUUUGUGAGGAUCGUCCGGUGGGAAAUAGGGUGCAAGCACGCAUUUAUCUUACAGGCAGCACAAGGAUAUAGAAUAUGAGACAUCUCUUGGGCUUUCUGUUCCAUCCGAAUUAAACAGGAGAACAAAAUUUUAUGUACGAUUUAAGAGUAAAGCUAGCAGAUCAGAGUCGUAAUCGAUGAACGCUUAUCAAAACUACGAAUUUAAGAGUAAAGCUAUGUGCAUGUGUACGAUUUAAGAGUAAAUCUAGCAGAUCUGCUCCACAUUGAGCAAAUUGUAGCUCUAAAAAUUAGAGGAUGGGUGGCAAAAAUUGGAUACUUUAAUUUGUUGCUAAUGCCAGACUUUUUGUAAAUGUUUCAGCGACACUCUGGCUCAGAAUUUUGUGUGGCAUUUUUGUACAAUCAAAUUUACUAUUCCUAGAAACUUUAUGUACAAACUAGGAACAAGAAGUAAGUCAUUCCAAUGAGUCUACCCAUUCCAGCAAUUAUUAAUUUAUAU